CACACUCUCUGUGCUAGCAGGGCCAGUGUUAGACUCGCUGGGGCCCAGGGCACAAAGUAAGGAGUGGGCCCCCAGCCUGAGCCCCACAGCCCAUAACUUAGCUUCUUAUGGCCCCCAGACAAUUGCUCUGCUUGAUACCCCCUAAUACCAGCCCAGGGUACAAGAGAGAAACUGUCCUUCCCCCACAACCCUCCUGCCGUAGAGAGGAAGAAGCUUGUAAUAAAUCCACAUCGAACAAGAUCUUUCUUGCACGGAAGCAUAAACUGCGCCGAGAGAAAUCUUCCAGCCUAGAGGGAGAUAUUUGAAUACAUGAGCCUUGUCUACACUGGUGGCUUUACACAGAAAAUUCCCACUGUUAUUAACAUGGGUUUUUCAGCACCAGUCUUUAUAUCCUUUCAGUUAAAAGCAGAUGGUUUAAAUCAACACAGUCCUGAAAACAGCCACUGGAACAUAAGCAAAGCUCCUUUUCUGUAUGCUUGUGCAGCACCUAGCACAACAGGGCCCCAGGCUGGCUGUCCUAUGUUAAAUAAUAAUAAAUAAUACACCAAAGCUACCAAGGGAGGAGAAUUGGACCCCAGGACUCUGUGGGAAGGAGCUCAAUAUAGAUCUAAAAUGUGGGAAGUGUUUCAGAGAGAGAGAGAGAGAGAGAGAGAGAGAGAGAGAGAGUAAUUUGAAAGGAAAGGUGCCAUGUCACAGAUAUGCUCAGAAGCAAGACUUGUGUGAACAAGUACUGGGAAAGUGGACAACCUGAAGUGGCUACAAAAGUUAAAACAGACGUUGUGGAAUGAUUUUAAAGGGACGCUGUUAAUGGGUUUAGGACCUGACAUUUAGGUUCCAAAUUAAAUCCUCUGCACCGUCCCUAGAUCUAAUCUUUACAAAAAAACCCACAAUUUUAAUUCUGUUAAGACCCCAUCUUCCAUCAUUGAAGUCAAUGGAAGUUUUGUAAUUAUCUUUCAAGGGAAGCAGUAUCAUGCCCUAAGGGAUCCUCUGCAUGGCAGUAAGGCUCUGGGGAGGUAGAUCACUGUGAAGGACCAGGGCCUUAGACUGUAAGCACUUUGGGGAAGGGUGUUGUGUACUCCACAUUCUAUAAAGCACUGAACACAUUUUAAAUACUCAACAAAUAGUGAAUGAAUAAAUACAUUUAAAAAUACUGAUGGAGUCUUCAGCAAGAGAGAAUUUAGGUUGCUGAAAAUUCAAUUUUCCUCAAAUGACAUCAUGGAUGCUCUAAUUUUCACCAGCAGAUAAUGGCUACUAUGAGGCUGUUAGGCCAGUCAAGGAUUGUGGGAGCAGUUGGGCCAUGCCUCCUUAUCCUAGAGCCCCCUGUCCCAUAGCUAGCUCUACACCCCCUGAAAAGGCGUGUUGGAGGAACACUUAGUUCUUUGGUUUUGGGCCAGGCUUCCCGCACUUUUGCACUGGCAGAGGUUUGCACAGAAGGACCUUAUUGAGGCCAACGGAUCUUGUCCAUGGAUUUCUCCUCUAGGAAAGACCAGAGAAUUCUACUGUCUGCUGGUACACUUGGAGCCUGAUCACCUAUCCCUGAUGUUAUGAUAAUACAAAUAAUAAUAAGAAUGAUAGCAACAGCUUUUUGGAUGGACUGAAAAGGAGCAGGAAAAGCAGUAGAUGGACCAGAGAGGAGGCGGUUUCAAUACUGAAGGACCCCUGCCUCAUUACAUGCACAGGAAUGAUGCCUGCAUGCAGAUAAGCAAGCCCAGCAAGCCGCAAAGCUCCCAUUUCUCCAAAACUCUUAUCAUCUUGCUCCUAUGCUGACAUACAAAAAACAAAAUGAUCUUUUGGCUGCUUGAAAUACGUAUGGCAUGAGGUGUUAAAACUGAACCGCUACCAUCACCAAGUGGUCUGCCAGUUUGGAGGAAAAAACCCAAACAGAUGAAGCCCCUUGCAUUCAAAAGUCUAGCCUUGAAACACUGUUUUCACUCAGGAGCUCCAUACAAGUCUCAAAGAAGCCUGAAAUCAGAAUAGGCCGGGCCAUGGCUAUGACUCAUUCUUUACUUUGUGUCAAAAUUUUCUGUGACAAAACAACCUUGGUUGAAAAAUAGAGCUUCUUGCAAAUGGAACAAGGCACUCCUGGCUAUAUGCUAGAAAGAAGAUGUUCAGCUUAUGAACAAUGCAUGUUGAAACAGAUGCUUAGCAAGAGAAUAAACCUGGAAGCUGGACUGCUGGGACAUAAAACACAGACGUCUUUCAUCACCCUGACCUAGAUAAAUAAAUCACUCCUGUGCAUACCAGCUUUCUUCCAAUAGCAUCUGAAACUGUCAUUAUAUCUAAGGCAAUUUUCUAGUCCCUUGAAGUUGCCAAAAUUUAAGUAUUUUUAGCAUCUUCACUGUAUGUUAAACAAAAAGCUCUCUCUAUAGUCAUUUGUGUUCCUCUCUGCCCACAUGAAAUGCAGACAUAAUUAUUUGCUGUGACAAAAUAGUCUAAUGUCAUGAAAUAAGCAGACCAUUGGAAAUUGGGAUAUUCUCAUUUCCAGGUGUAGAGAAUGGUCCAGAUAAAUUUUUCAUGGAAAUACAGUAUAUGCUGACAUUACGGAGAUUGCAUCAGUACAACUCAGGCAGAAUAUGACUCAUGCCUUUAAUAAACUAGAUAAGAACUUUAAGAAUAGAGGCUCAAAUCAGCAAAACCAUGAAGCACAUGCUUCAGUGCUUUGCUGAUUUACUAUUCUAUCACCUUGCCUUUUGACAGGCACACCUGCUUUUUAACAGAUGUAUCUAGAUUUGGUGUAUUUAACAUUAAGACAUACAAGUGUCUAUAUAAAGAGUUACCUUCUUACCUAUUUUCUCUAUGCAUAUAUUCAGUAAUGCUUAACAUUAGCAACAAAAAUAUCAGGCGCUCUGAUGGCUUAUUUACUCCUGCUUCAGAGCCAAUACAGUUUUAAGGACCUGAGCCGGAUUCUUUCUACAUCAUGUAAAAUCAACAGAAUUCUUGACUAAGUUCUUCUUGCAGGUCACGUUGUGGAAACUAAAGCUUACAUUUGUUUUAAGUUUCAAAUUAUUUCAAAUAAUUUGCUUGGAACCUUGUUUUGAGAGGAACAAGAUUGCACUGAAACAAAUAAAAUAAAAUAUAUGAGAGGCUGGUGCUAACAGAGAAUUUGGUCUAAUCAUAACAGUCAAAUGAAAAUUCCAUCCAUUGCUACAUAAAGGUUCAGCACCUUGGAAGAAAUGAACAGCAUACAUCUUUCUAGCUUUCAAGGGAACUGAGGCUUUGAAGCAAGAAUUUGGCCUCCAAAAAUUCCAAAUUUGGCAAUACCAACAAAAUAAACAUUUAUUAGUCAAACAGUUUUGUACCAUUGCAACAGCAGCUCUGAAAUCUCCAGACUUGCUAAAAUAUGCAUGAAAAAUUGAGCAGCAUGCCAGACCUGCUUCAUCAAUAUAAACUUGUUUAAUGAAGGCCACCAGAAAAAAAUACCUCGAUGCUUCAGAGUGAAGAAUUAUCAGGAUUUGUCUUGAUCACACAACAAUGGAACAAAAUUUGACAUAAAAUAAGAAAAGCUCCAGUAGCCUUCUAUCUAAUCCAUCACCUGCAUUAGACUCCAACCCAUAUAUCCAAAACAAGCACGAAGUGUAUAGGAAACUGUGGAGUGGCCUCUGCUUAUCACCUACAUUGAGUAUGCAGCUUGCAAAAUUUAGGUACUUUUGGAAACAGAGAGACACUUAAGACUUUAUAUUAGACUUUUCUUUUGUUGUUUAUUAUUGGAGCUAUGUUACAGUCCCCUGGUUGAGUCACCAGUCUACUUUAUGGGACCCAACCUUUGGAUCCCACAGGCUUCCAAGUCUGUUAGGUCUGGGCAGCUUCCAGACACUGUCUCUACCUCUGGCCUCUUACACAUAAUGCCAGGGUGCAGACUCCCUGUCUGGCACACCCUCAAGUCUCCCUAGUAGCUAAUGCAGACUCUCCCUAGAGAUCUGUCAUAUGGGCAUUAUGGUGUACAGUAUAGUUUAACUCUUUAGGGACCACGUGACAGUUAAAGCAAGGUGUACACAGGCUUUGCAAACAAAUGUCUUACACACACUUUACUUGAUGUCAUAAGAGAUUUACAGGGCUAUAGAAAAAUAACAGACAUUUUGAACACAAUUCCCUCCCUCAGAGUCCUCACCACUGUUUGGGGUCUUUGCAAUUUGGUCAGUGUCGGUCAGGCGUCCAGUUCCCUCUAGCCCUCCACUGCUCCUGCUCAGUCUUCUGGUUCUGGUGAUUAUUGUCAGAGAGACUGUCUGUUUUUAAAAUCAGUAUCUGGCCCUUCUUCCUGUUUCUCUUCUCACUCCAAGUUUUCCAUUCUCCCCACCCUCAAGCAUGGUUGCUGUCAGAUAGUCUUUAAAAGUCAUGGCUCAGUCUGUCAUCCCCAUGGAACUGCUCAGCCUGUUGUGCCCAUGGUACCAUCUGGGUAAAGCUAUUCAAUUGUUGAAGCCCCUUGAUAGCCCUGGUGAGGAGUCACAGACUUCUGUCUUCUGCUAUAGAAGGGAAGUUUUAAUCCACACUGUAAUCAAACAAAAUUAAUAAAAUCAAAUGGCAUUCAUAAGUGUACACAGACAGAUAUCCUAAACUGUCCAAUUAGAUCAGAGUUGAAUCAUGUGACUACAUUUUUCCCCCUCACAAAGAUGGGUUUUUCCAACAAACUGCCAUUACCAGUAAACAAACUUGUAGUGAAGUGACAGUCUGGGUUGUCAGUGGGCAGUGAAACUGGGUGAGAGCAGAGCCCUAAUUGCUUAAACCAUGAUAGCACCUAAUGUAUUAUGGGUCAGAUUCUGCUCCCUACCCCAACUUUUGCUGACUAGCACCUACUCUGCAAACAGCCCCAUUUAUUUUAACAGAACUACUCAUGAUGGAGUGUGGCAUUACUGUUAAGCAUUACAUAGUUAGCAUUAAUAACAAUAAAAUUAUUAAUACAAAAAAUUCAAAGUACAUUCACAGAUUUUAAUUUCAGAAGGGACCACCAUAAUCAGCCAGUCUGACCUCCUGUGUAACAUAGGCCAUAGAAUUUCAUCCAGCAAAGUAGGUGUCAUCCAUGCAUUUAGAACAGCCCAUUCUGAUUACUGUCUUGCUUUUCCUCCUGCCUUAAUUCCAGCCUGGUUUUAGCAGCCAAAAAUUUCAUGAAACCCUGGAGUAGGAGAUUACUGAGCCAUAUCAUUUGAAAGUUGGAACUACAAGGUAUAUGUAGCAUUGGCCUCAAAUCUAACAGUUUCCAAGAAAGCAACCACCAAAGUCAGAUCAGAAACACAGUGGGAGGAAAAUGCAAAGAUGAUCAUCAGAAUUAUGUGUUUUUAAGUUCUGACACCUCAUGAAACAGUAGGGCUAGAAAAUAUGAUACUGCAGUGAUGAGCACCAUAGAAAAUCUAAUGAGGGAAUUAAUAAGUCUGUCUUCAGAGCAGGGUUUGAAUUGUAUGCAGUAAAUAAGACAUGGUGUAUCAUUGAAAAAUGAGGAUAAAACAAAAAUUGAAUAACUGUUCAUUCACGGAUCACCAUUCAUCUGGUGCACUGAAUGAGGCAGGAUCCUGUGGAAAAAAUACUGUAGAAUCAUAGAAUUAUAGAAUCAUAGAAU
Non-coding RNA from Chrysemys picta bellii (western painted turtle), 5548 nucleotides. NCBI's taxonomy places the organism in Eukaryota, Metazoa, Chordata, Testudines, Emydidae. The record is from RefSeq and is a predicted model, not a curated record.